This is a ribosomal RNA of 686 nucleotides. It matches the Rfam family "Eukaryotic large subunit ribosomal RNA", at positions 646 to 1283 of the family's 3401-position model.
GACCCGUCUUGAAACACGGACCAUGGAGUCUAACAUGUAUGCGAGUCAUGAGGUUUUACGAAACCUAAAGGCGCAGUGAAAGUAAAGAUGUGACUUGUGCACAUUGAGGUGGGAUUUUAUGAAAUAUAGUGUAAAAAUUAUAUGGAUUAAACGCACCACCGGCUCGUCCUAUGACUUUUAGUCGGGGCGAAGCAAGAGCACCCAUGUUGGGACCCGAAAGAUGGUGAACUAUGCUUGUGUAGGUUGAAGCCAGAGGAAACUCUGGUGGAGGACCGAAGCGCUUCUGACGUGCAAAUCGAUCGUCAGAGCUGGGUAUAGGGGCGAAAGACUAAUCGAACUAUCUAGUAGCUGGUUCCCUCCGAAGUUUCCCUCAGGAUAGCUGGCACACGGGAACUAAACAGUUUUAUCCGGUAAAGCGAAUGAUUAGAAGUAUUGGGGACGAAAUGUCCUCAACUUAUUCUCAAACUUUAAAUGGGUGAGAUGAUGGUCUCUCUUAAUUUGGAGUCUUGUCAUCGAAUGUGAGUGGCUAGUGGGCCAUUUUUGGUAAGCAGAACUGGCGAUGCGGGAUGAACCGAAAGUUGGGUUAAGGUGCCAAAGAAAACGCUCAUGAGAUACCUCAAAAGGUGUUGGUUGAUAUAGACAGCAGGACGGUGGUCAUGGAAGUCGAAAUCCGCUAAGGAGUGUGU